RNAcentral lists this ribosomal RNA (253 nucleotides) under uncultured bacterium. Its description in RNAcentral is "partial 16S ribosomal RNA". It matches the Rfam family "Bacterial small subunit ribosomal RNA", at positions 524 to 776 of the family's 1533-position model. The record is from RNAcentral.
UACGUAGGGUGCGAGCGUUAAUCGGAAUCACUGGGCGUAAAGGGCGCGUAGGCGGCCUGCUAAGUCGGACGUGAAAUCCCCCGGCUCAACCGGGGAACUGCGUCCGAUACUGGUGGGCUCGAAUCCGGGAGAGGGAUGUGGAAUUCCAGGUGUAGCGGUGAAAUGCGUAGAUAUCUGGAGGAACACCGGUGGCGAAGGCGGCAUCCUGGACCGGCAUUGACGCUGAGGCGCGAAAGCCAGGGGAGCAAACGGG